GUUAUUCCGGUGAACGUAUGCAAUGUUUGGAACAAUACAGAGAACAUUGGCGUGGCCACUGCGCAAGGAUGGCACGCAACGUUCGUGAAGCGUUCCCAAUAUCU
This 104-nucleotide small nuclear RNA is filed under the name Toxocara canis (dog roundworm). The record is from RNAcentral. Lineage: Eukaryota; Metazoa; Nematoda; Chromadorea; Rhabditida; Toxocaridae.